AAAUAAAAAUAAUGCAUAUAACUAGAUUUCUUUAAAAAUCUAGUGUUAUAUAUAUAAUAUAUAUAUAAUGCUUUAUUACAGGUACGUACAGGUAUGAUGUAACUGCAACAGCCAAUAUGAAAAAAAGUUGUCUAUUAUGCAGAAAAUAUGUUUCAUCAGACAAACAUGAUAGAUUGAUAGCUUGCAUGGUUUGUGCAUUCCGGUCUAUAAUUUUUAGGGGUAAUUGGUCUCUCAGACUUGGUCCUAAUACUCUUUUCUUACCUUUCUU
Molecule: long non-coding RNA, 268 nt
Filed under: Lathyrus oleraceus (garden pea)
Lineage: Eukaryota; Viridiplantae; Streptophyta; Magnoliopsida; Fabales; Fabaceae
Description: Pisum sativum (pea) long non-coding RNA (PSAT_LNC007826)
Source: RNAcentral